AGAGUUUGAUCAUGGCUCAGGAUAAACGCUGGCGGCGCACAUAAGACAUGCAAGUCGAACGAACUUAACUCAUUCUUUUAGUUUGAGAGCGGUUAGUGGCGGACUGGUGAGUAACACGUAAGCAACCUGCCUAUUAGAGGGGAAUAACAGUGAGACAUCAUUGCUAAUACCGCAUAUGCUAACAGUAUCGCAUGAUACAGUUAGGAAAGGAGUAAUCCGCUAAUAGAUGGGCUUGCGCCUGAUUAGCUAGUUGGUGGGGCAAUGGCCUACCAAGGCGACGAUCAGUAGCCGGACUGAGAGGUUGAACGGCCACAUUGGGACUGAGAUACGGCCCAGACUCCUACGGGAGGCAGCAGUCGGGAAUAUUGCGCAAUGGAGGAAACUCUGACGCAGUGACGCCGCGUAUAGGAAGAAGGUUUUCGGAUUGUAAACUAUUGUCGUUAGGGAAGAUACAAGACAGUACCUAAGGAGGAAGCCCCGGCUAACUAUGUGCCAGCAGCCGCGGUAAUACAUAGGGGGCAAGCGUUAUCCGGAAUUAUUGGGUGUAAAGGGUGCGUAGACGGAGGAGCAAGUUGGUUGUGAAAUCCCUCGGCUUAACUGAGGAACUGCAACCAAAACUACUUCCCUUGAGUGUCGGAGAGGAAAGUGGAAUUCCUAGUGUAGCGGUGAAAUGCGUAGAUAUUAGGAGGAACACCAGUGGCGAAGGCGACUUUCUGGACGAUAACUGACGUUGAGGCACGAAAGUGUGGGGAGCAAACAGGAUUAGAUACCCUGGUAGUCCACACCGUAAACGAUGGAUA
RNAcentral lists this ribosomal RNA (800 nucleotides) under uncultured bacterium. RNAcentral describes it as "bacterial SSU rRNA". It matches the Rfam family "Bacterial small subunit ribosomal RNA", at positions 8 to 815 of the family's 1533-position model. The record is from RNAcentral.